GUUCCCGUAGCUCAACUGGAUAGAGCGACGGCCUCCGGAGCCGUAGGUUGUGGGUUCGACUCCCGCCGGGAACG
This 74-nucleotide transfer RNA is filed under the name Phycisphaerae bacterium. Its description in RNAcentral is "tRNA-Arg". It matches the Rfam family "tRNA". Rfam says of the family: Transfer RNA (tRNA) molecules are approximately 80 nucleotides in length. Their secondary structure includes four short double-helical elements and three loops (D, anti-codon, and T loops). Further hydrogen bonds mediate the characteristic L-shaped molecular structure. tRNAs have two regions of fundamental functional importance: the anti-codon, which is responsible for specific mRNA codon recognition, and the 3' end, to which the tRNAs corresponding amino acid is attached (by aminoacyl-tRNA synthetases). tRNAs cope with the degeneracy of the genetic code in two manners: having more than one tRNA (with a specific anti-codon) for a particular amino acid; and 'wobble' base-pairing, i.e. permitting non-standard base-pairing at the 3rd anti-codon position. Lineage: Bacteria; Pseudomonadati; Planctomycetota; Phycisphaerae. The record is from RNAcentral.